CUCGUGAGUAGGAUGAGCUAAUAUAAUAAAAAUAACAAUCCUACCUAAAGUAAUUUACUUAUUCAGUACCAUCAAAUACCACUAAAGCUACCCCCCAAAAAAAUUAUAGAACUAGAAAAAAUAAUAACAACAUUCAUCCAGAAGAACAAAAGGUGAAUAAUAUCAACAGAACUAAUGAAAAAAAACAUGUUAAGGAUGGUGGCCUGGAAGUAACAUAUCACAAACUGUACUAUAACUCAUCAAUCAUCCAAACAAUCUGAUAUUGGCUAAAAUAAAGAAGGGUGGACAAAUGGAAUAGAUUAGUCAUAAAAGACAUUUGCAAGCUAGUGUUUGAUAAACCCCAAAAUGUCAGAUUUUGGGAUAAGAACUGUUGCAAUGUAAUGCUUAAUGCAUAAGAAUGAUUGGCAGGCAGAGAAUCUUCAGAGCUGGCAGGGGAAAGGUUCCAAACUGUUGAGGAGACUGUUGGGCCUCAUUUGGGGGUUUGCAGUCGACAUAGAAGCUGAAAGUUGCUGAUCUGUGCUCCUGUGGACGUCUCUGAAUCAUCCUGCAAGCAGCCCUCUGGACAAGAGUGGAUAGGAGUAUCCUAAUUACUGUUGGGUGGACCAAGGGAAAGACUGGGAACUUCAGCCAUUCUCUAGACCAUCUAGGAUUCCUCAUCUGGACUCCAACCUCUACUUCCUAAAACACUCCAUAUGUAAGAUCUCUGUAAUUUGUUGGACUGGCCCUUAAGAGUUUAGGAUGAGAUAAGCCAAAAUAGGUGGCAGCACCAACUCAAGUGCUUAUGUUUUGAACAAGGUCAGAAGGUCUAUGGUUUAAAGCUAUUUUGGGUUGCCAGGAGACAAACCCUGAAAUGCCAGAUUCUGGCAGAAGAACUAAGCUAUCUUGACAUUUUUAUUUAAAGAAAAAGAAUGCCAUGACACUUUUUGUGAUCAUCCUUUCAGGGACAUCUCAGGCUGAGGAACUACAAGUUUUCAGUGUUCCCAAAGUCAUCUUGUCAAGGACAAUGAGGAAUCCUACUCAUGGGGAGAGUGUCCUCAUAGGGGCAUGGAUGCCAUUUAGGGGCAGGUAUUGCUACCUUAGGACCAAGAGCUGGAGUGUGUUAAUGGGCUCCUUUACAAAGCCACAAUUCUAUUAAUGAUACGAGGACCAAAGGUCAGCAAAAUGACGAGGAUGAAGAGGGGACCCAAUAAAGUGGAAGUGAAGGUUGUCA
Monodelphis domestica (gray short-tailed opossum) is the source of this 1210-nucleotide long non-coding RNA. The record is from Ensembl. Lineage: Eukaryota; Metazoa; Chordata; Mammalia; Didelphimorphia; Didelphidae.